Long non-coding RNA from Gallus gallus (chicken), 564 nucleotides. Lineage: Eukaryota; Metazoa; Chordata; Aves; Galliformes; Phasianidae. The record is from Ensembl.
AGUCGGCUCCGCUGCUUGGAGCGGGGGGGGCGCGCGAGCUGGGCGCUUUCCCGGCCUUUGGCGCUGAGGUGACAGAGGUUUCAUUUAAGAACAGAAGGAUCUAACAUCCCCGAGUUUGAAGACAAGCUGUGUGAGAAGAUUUGCUAAAUGGAGAACUUCUGUGUAGAGGCAUAACUUAGCUAUGAAAGCUGCUGCUGCAUGGCUAUUCUUGGCCUUAAAAUUGAGCAAUAGGUUUGCUGUUUGCUCUGGACCAAAGCUCCAGCUGAGUCAAGUGGAGAUUUGAAAGUUUUCAUGAGGCUUGCGUACUGGAGACCAGCAGUUAAGCGUGUCCCAUUUGAAGACAAAUCAAGUGUUAUAUCUCUAGUUGCUGUUUUGAAGAACAUGGAGAAAGCUAAUGCUCAGCAGAACUGUGGCAUGCAAGCAGAAGAUCACCAAGCAAAAACCAAACACAUUUAUUUGAAGCUUGGAUUCCCUUGCCCGUAGUAGCAGAGAACAUGAAUGCAUGAAUCAAGGCUUCCUUUCCCACUCUAUUAUCGGUUAUGUUCCCAGAAUCAUAGUUAAAAU